This is a non-coding RNA of Prunus mume (Japanese apricot), 993 nucleotides long. The record is from RefSeq and is a predicted model, not a curated record. NCBI's taxonomy places the organism in Eukaryota, Viridiplantae, Streptophyta, Magnoliopsida, Rosales, Rosaceae.
AGUUAGGGUUUUCUUUUGUUUUGCUUUGUUCUUGAGAGAAAAUGGUGGAGAACCAAGCCACCCUUCACUUAAUAAAUCAGAAGAAGAGAGUCAAAUAUAAACACCACUUUUCCGUUCAGGUCAUGAGUCAUGCAAAUUUACAUCGGAUCGGUGAUUUACCAGAAAAUAAGGAGAGGCAGUUUGCAACAGACCGAUGAGUUGAGUGCUACUCUAGCUAGAAGCCUCAAAAUUAAUGGACCUCCAAGCAAACUUUGUGUGGAGCUCUGGCAUCCAGCAUUUGGCAUCCAGCUUAACCUGUUGUGUUUCCACAUAGGCAGCGAUAGGUAGGACUUGGCUUUGCGAUGGUCGGUUCAUUUCCCUUCCCAGUACAUAAUUGGCAACCUUGGAAGGUGGCAUCAGAGGCCAAAUGCUUAAUGUGGCAUCAGAUCGUCAAAUGCUUAAUAUGGCAUAGACUGGAUGAUGUUGUUUAUGGGAUUACGCGCCUGUCAAACUGCUCUUCGAUCUGCGAUCUGUUGUUAUACAUCAUAUGGUGUAAUUUUUCUCACCUAGCUACCCCGUGUAAAUUAGCUGGUACAGAAUUAUGGACGUAAUUGGCCUGACCCAUACCCCCAGUUCAAGGAGGCCUGGGGUGUCGAAUUAAUGCAGGCUCUACUCUCCUCGUAGAGAAGUAUGGACGUUCUUCAAAGCUAGUUGGGGCUUCUUUGUUUGAUCUUGUUCUUGAGAAUAAAAUGGAGAAAAUUCAAGUGUACUUUUCCUAAAUGAAAAGAUAGUCAAAUACAAAGACCAGUAUUCUUUCUUUCAGAUCAUGAAUCAUACUAAUUUAAUUACAUCAAAUUGGUGAUUUAACACAAAACUGUAAAACUCUUUCAGUGUCGUGGACAAAUGAAGACCCUUGGAUGGAUUGUGUAUACAAGAUUUCUUCAAAUGCACCUGCAGCACUGCAUAGGUUCACAAUCCAUCGUUAUAACAUCUUUGCAUAAUAAAAUGUACUGA